UACGGGGGGAGCAAGCGUUGUUCGGAUUUACUGGGCGUAAAGGGCGCGUAGGCGGCCACCGCAAGUCAGUUGUGAAAUCUCUGGGCUUAACCCAGAACGGUCAGCUGAUACUGCGGGGCUAGAGUGCAGAAGGGGCAACUGGAAUUCUCGGUGUAGCGGUGAAAUGCGUAGAUAUCGAGAGGAACACCUGCGGCGAAGGCGGGUUGCUGGGCUGACACUGACGCUGAGGUGCGAAAGCGUGGGGAGCAAACAGG
RNAcentral lists this ribosomal RNA (254 nucleotides) under uncultured bacterium. RNAcentral describes it as "partial 16S ribosomal RNA". It matches the Rfam family "Bacterial small subunit ribosomal RNA", at positions 524 to 776 of the family's 1533-position model. The record is from RNAcentral.